This 130-nucleotide ribosomal RNA is filed under the name Paenibacillus flagellatus. RNAcentral's name for it is "Paenibacillus sp. DXL2 partial 23S ribosomal RNA". It matches the Rfam family "Bacterial large subunit ribosomal RNA", at positions 2789 to 2925 of the family's 2925-position model. The record is from RNAcentral. Lineage: Bacteria; Bacillati; Bacillota; Bacilli; Caryophanales; Paenibacillaceae.
GAAGCCCCCCUCAAGAUGAGAUUUCCCAAUUCGUAAGACCCCUGGUAGACGACCAGGUUGAUAGGUUCGGGGUGGAAGCGCCGUAAGGCGUGCAGCUGACGAAUACUAAUCGGUCGAGGGCUUAUCCAAU